AACGAACGCUGGCGGCAUGCCUAACACAUGCAAGUCGAACGAUUGCCUUCGGGUGAUAGUGGCGCACGGGUGCGUAACGCGUGGGAAUCUGCCCUUAGGUUCGGAAUAACAGCUGGAAACGGCUGCUAAUACCGGAUGAUAUCGCGAGAUCAAAGAUUUAUCGCCUGAGGAUGAGCCCGCGUUGGAUUAGGCAGUUGGUGGGGUAAAGGCCUACCAAGCCGACGAUCCAUAGCUGGUCUGAGAGGAUGAUCAGCCACACUGGGACUGAGACACGGCCCAGACUCCUACGGGAGGCAGCAGUGGGGAAUAUUGGACAAUGGGCGCAAGCCUGAUCCAGCAAUGCCGCGUGAGUGAUGAAGGCCCUAGGGUUGUAAAGCUCUUUUACCCGGGAAGAUAAUGACUGUACCGGGAGAAUAAGCCCCGGCUAACUCCGUG
RNAcentral lists this ribosomal RNA (435 nucleotides) under uncultured bacterium. Its description in RNAcentral is "partial 16S ribosomal RNA". It matches the Rfam family "Bacterial small subunit ribosomal RNA", at positions 29 to 507 of the family's 1533-position model. The record is from RNAcentral.